AUUAUGAGGGGUGUUUGUGCAGUGAAUUUGAAGAUGGAUCAACUAGUUGUUUGAUGGACUGUUGUUUAGAGUUUUGUUCAAUGCUUGUACUGAAAACUGCUGUGACCUGGAUGUAUUUAUGUAAGUUAGGGUCUGCUGCAUAACUGCCAUGCUGCUUCCUUUGAUUGGACUGAUAACAUUGUUGGUACUGUCAUGAUGAUUUGUUGUUGUAAGAUGUCUGUUUGGCUUGCUAUGCGUCAUGGUGAUUUUCCUGGUCAUUGAUGAUAGAAAAUGUUAGUUAGACUAUUGUGCAGAAUGUUGUGUAAUUUGAAAUGGCCAUGUGGAGGUUUAACAUGUGUGCUAUAGGUUUUGCUCAUGGUUUGCAAGUGGUUGGCCCAACCAGUUUGUGCAACUGCAGGAUGAAUUCUUCAUGGCUUGUUCCUAGUUAUGCUGUUAUGGUUGGAUGUUGGCUGCUGAAUUGUUAAUGCAGGCUUGGUGUAUGAAGUGAAGUG
This 491-nucleotide long non-coding RNA is filed under the name Lathyrus oleraceus (garden pea). RNAcentral's name for it is "Pisum sativum (pea) long non-coding RNA (PSAT_LNC020472)". The record is from RNAcentral. Lineage: Eukaryota; Viridiplantae; Streptophyta; Magnoliopsida; Fabales; Fabaceae.